UCAGGAAGAGAUUCGGAGAAAAACUUGUCCAAAAAGUUCUCUUCUACUUUUUUUUUUUUAUAGAGCUUGUGGAGGCUUUUAGACUUCGGGAUUGAAUUGAAUUUAAUUCUAAAAGGCAGGCAUAGCAGAUAGAUGUGUCAUCCAAAAAGUUAGAGUGUUAGGUAGACAUACUAUCUGGGUUGUUUAUACAACUGUCAAAAUAUGAUUUAAUCCAUCAAUCCGAUCCGUAUUCGAUCCACUAUAAACAGAUUUGAAUUUAUAAACAGAUUUGGAUUUAGACUAAACAGAUUCAGAUCAUAAAUGGAUCGAUCCGUUUAAUCCAUUUAAUAAUUGGAUCAGAUAUAAAUUUUAAAUACCUGACCCGUUUAAUAUUUAGAUUAGAUUGUCAGAUAACCCAUUUAAUCUAUUUAACCUAUUUCUGAUCCAUUUAAUCCGAUAUGUUUAACCUG
RNAcentral lists this long non-coding RNA (449 nucleotides) under Elaeis guineensis (African oil palm). RNAcentral describes it as "long non-coding RNA (EGUI_LNC021234)". Lineage: Eukaryota; Viridiplantae; Streptophyta; Magnoliopsida; Arecales; Arecaceae. The record is from RNAcentral.